RNAcentral lists this long non-coding RNA (739 nucleotides) under Marmota monax (woodchuck). Lineage: Eukaryota; Metazoa; Chordata; Mammalia; Rodentia; Sciuridae. The record is from RNAcentral.
AGCAAGUAUUGGAAAAGUGCUGUUAUUGGUUAGGCAUACAGUAUUCUGAUUGGUUAGCCCUUAAGUCUGUAGCCUUCACUCAGAUCUUUCCCACCUCCCUUUUCCUUCUGCCCCAGGACAAAGGAGUUGACUGGGAUGUUGGGAAUGUUUCUACAGGUUAAUUUCAUGGAAUAUUAUUUAGAGAUGUUUAUUUAGAGAUGCUUUUCUGGGUGGGGACAUAUUUCCUUAACUGCUUGCCUAUUUUAUGAUCUAUCUGUCCUAUCCUGUUCAAUACAACAGGGAGAAAAACUUAGGCAUCCCAAUGGGCAGUGCAGGAAGAUGCAAUAGAAUUAAAGAUCUUAAGAUCUCCCCUCCCCCUACACCAAUUUCUCAUCUCAGAGGAAACACCCAGGUAAGCCUGUCAGGGAUCCAGAAAAUGUUCCCUGGUAGUCAAAGUAUUCAGUGUAGACAGACAAAUUCCUUCAAGUGUGAUCUGCCUGGUAAUUGCAGAUAUUAGUAAUUCUAGUUUGUCCAGAGUUCCCUUCAUUAUUUCUCCUACUCUUAGCACUAUGUGAUUUCCUUGUCCCAUAAUUUCCCCUUGUUGUUACUCACCUUAAAUUCCCUUUUAAAAAAAUUUUUUAGUUAUAGAUGGACACAAUAUCUUUAUUUUGUUUGUUUAUUUUUAUGUGAUGCUGAGGAUCAAACCCAGUGCCUCACAUGUGCAAGGCAAGUGUUCUGCCACUGAGCCACAACCCCAGCC